This 500-nucleotide ribosomal RNA is filed under the name uncultured bacterium. RNAcentral describes it as "partial 16S ribosomal RNA". It matches the Rfam family "Bacterial small subunit ribosomal RNA", at positions 30 to 523 of the family's 1533-position model. The record is from RNAcentral.
AUUGAACGCUGGCGGCAGGCCUAACACAUGCAAGUCGAGCGGAUGACGGGAGCUUGCUCCUUGAUUCAGCGGCGGACGGGUGAGUAAUGCCUAGGAAUCUGCCUGGUAGUGGGGGACAACGUUUCGAAAGGAACGCUAAUACCGCAUACGUCCUACGGGAGAAAGCAGGGGACCUUCGGGCCUUGCGCUACCAGAUGAGCCUAGGUCGGAUUAGCUAGUAGGUGAGGUAAUGGUUCACCUAGGCGACGAUCCGUAACUGGUCUGAGAGGAUGAUCAGUCACACUGGAACUGAGACACGGUCCAGACUCCUACGGGAGGCAGCAGUGGGGAAUAUUGGACAAUGGGCGAAAGCCUGAUCCAGCCAUGCCGCGUGUGUGAAGAAGGUCUUCGGAUUGUAAAGCACUUUAAGUUGGGAGGAAGGGUCGUACGUUAAUACCGUGCAAUUUUGACGUUACCGACAGAAUAAGCACCGGCUAACUCUGUGCCAGCCGCCGCAGUAA